Molecule: ribosomal RNA, 495 nt
Filed under: uncultured bacterium
Lineage: Bacteria
Description: partial 16S ribosomal RNA
Rfam family: Bacterial small subunit ribosomal RNA
Source: RNAcentral
GACGAACGCUGGCGGCGUGCCUAAUACAUGCAAGUCGAACGCUGAAGGAGGAGCUUGCUUCUCUGGAUGAGUUGCGCACGGGUGAGUAACGCGUAGGUAACCUGCCUGGUAGCGGGGGAUAACUAUUGGAAACGAUAGCUAAUACCGCAUAAGAGUAGAUGUUGCAUGACAUUUGCUUAAAAGGUGCAAUUGCAUCACUACCAGAUGGACCUGCGUUGGAUUAGGUAGUUGGUGGGGUAACGGCUCACCAAGGCGACGAUACAUAGCCGCCCUGGGAGGGGGAUCGGCCACACUGGGACUGAGAAACGGCCCAGACUCCUACGGGAGGCAGCAGGAGGGAAUCUUCGGCAAUGGACGGAAGUCUGAACGAGCAACGCCGCGGGGGUGAAGAAGGUUUUCGGAUCGGAAAGCUCUGUUGUAAGAGAAGAACGAGUGGGGUAGGGAAAAGUUCACACUGUGACGGUAUCUGACCAGAAAGGGACGGCUAACUACGUG